CAGAUUACCAGUAACACAUUUAUCUUGAUGGACCAGCUCCCGUGUUUUGGACCAGUUUCACUAUGACUGGACCAAGCUUACAUUACUCCUUCUGGGGUCCUAAAGUCAAGUUCACAGACAAAUAAAGAGUGUUUUGAUAUCCUGUUUGCUGCUGAACAGGAGACUCGAGGCUGAAAUCAAAGCUGAUCCAGUUCAGGAGCUGAAUUGCUUUCUUCAUGUGGAUGGGCGGCACCUCCGGCUGCAGGAAGCAGCACAGCACAUCCCUCCCUGGCAGCAGAUGGUCUGGCCGGGUCCCUCACAGCUCUUUGGCCCUCUGUGAGUCCUUCUGCACUUCAGCCUCCUUUGCUCUGAGGCCUCCUGAAGUGAGACGUUUCUCGGUGACGAGGAGGCAGUGGUGGCUGCUGAUGGUCUUUAUAUCCACACACACCUUUCAGAGUGCCCUCCGGUGCCUUCGUGCAGUGAAUUCUGGACCAGUGCAUGCCAAGCAGUAUCUCUGAUCUAGAGUCCUACAUCUUGGGCAGCUUUGGGCAUGGGUACCUUUUCAACUCAGGACCUACAGGAACGAGGCAACAACCAAGCAGUCUGAGAGGUGGCCGCCUCACCACUGGACCAGCUCUGUAAGUGAUGCAUCAGCUUUUAUUCCCCCCAGCCUACCCACAUUAGCUGUUUCUGAUCCUUCCUCCCGCUGGUGAGAAGGAAGCAUCUCGUG
RNAcentral lists this long non-coding RNA (709 nucleotides) under Gallus gallus (chicken). Its description in RNAcentral is "lncRNA (ENSGALG00010011750.1)". The record is from RNAcentral. Lineage: Eukaryota; Metazoa; Chordata; Aves; Galliformes; Phasianidae.